Long non-coding RNA from Malaya genurostris, 13723 nucleotides. RefSeq lists it as uncharacterized. The record is from RefSeq and is a predicted model, not a curated record. NCBI's taxonomy places the organism in Eukaryota, Metazoa, Arthropoda, Insecta, Diptera, Culicidae. The transcript has 3 exons.
GAGUCUCGACGAAAUGGUCGAUAUAUUGCGAGUGUAGUGAACUGUUAGAACACUGCUAGCAGGUUCAGCUCCAAAUGAAUAAAUUAGGCAACACCACCAGUCUGCCAACGACGGCAAGCAACCAAGCCCCAGGCGAGGCGACGACAUUCGAGUAAACAAUAUUGAGUGAUUGAAGAUUACGCGUUAUCGAUGGCGUAUCGGUCCGGGUGAAUUCGCAAGCCUUCGACAUAUCUUCGAGUGUUAGUACCAACCUUCAAAAGAUACGUGUAUAAAUUUGACAGCUGUCUGAUUAUUAGUUUGUGAGAUAUUGCAUGUUGAGUGAAGCUACUUUUGUUAUUGUGAAAAAAUGGAAAAAAAGUAAUUUCGUGUGUUGAUGAAACACUACUUUUUGAUGAAAAAAAGUGCCGCCGAUACCAAAAAAUGGCUUGAUGAGUGUUAUCCAGACUCUGCACCGGGCGAAGCAACAAUUCGUAAGUGGUUUGCAAAAUUUCGUACUGGUCAUAUGAGCACCGAAGACGAUGAACGCAGUGGACGCCCAAAAGAGGCUGUUACCGAUGAAAACGUGAAAAAAAUCCACAAAAUGAUUUUCAAUGACCGUAAAGUGAAAUUGAUCGAGAUAGCUGACACCCCAAAGAUAUCAAAGGAACGUGUUGGACAUAUUAUUCACGAAUAUUUGGAUAUGAGAAAGCUUUGUGUAAAAUGGGUACCGCGUGAGCUCACAAUCACAAUGUCACAAGUCGAUGAAAACCAUGCUGAAAUUGAACGAAUUGGGCUUCGAAUUGCUCCCUCAUCCACCGUAUUUUCCAUAUUUGGCCCCCAGUGACUUUUUCCUGUUCUCAGACCUCAAGAGAAUGCUCGCUGGUAAAAAAUUUAGAAGCAAUGAAGAGGUAAUCGCUGAAACUGAGGCUUACUUUGAGGCAAAGGACAAAUCGUACUACAAAAUUGGUAUCGAAAAGUUGGAAAAUCGCUAUAAUCGCUGUAUCGCCUCUGAUGGCAAUUAUGUUGAACAAUAAAAACGAAUUUUGGCAAAAAAAUGUGUGUUUCUAUUAAACGAUACGAACUUUUCAGCCGAACUGUUAUACAUCAUAUUGCUCAUUAAAUCAAGAAUAAUAGGUAUGUUUUCAUCAUGCUAAUGCUACCGGCAAUGGAUUUUAUCCGUGUUCGUGCGAUAUCUUUACAAGCUUCACUUUUCGAUUUUCCAUAACGUUGGAAUGAACAUUUGAGACGAUUUCCGCAACAACAGCCUCAUUCGGACAAUCAGAGCGUGAUGCCGACGACCAGAUUUAAAUUUAGCACACCAGUCCAUAAUGGCUGGUUCGCUUGAAGCAAAGCCCGUAAAGUGCUGAUCAUUUCUUUGCUUGUACAGUGUUUUUUUUUCACUGAAAAACAGUGUUUUGUCAAUAUACGGUGCUUUUUCCUUCAUUGUUCCUAAUUUUCCAAAAGUAGCGUUCUAAAAAAUACAUGAUUUGACAGGCUAUUUGUAGUUGUGGUUUGAUGAGCGAAAUUCUCGUGACUACAAGUACGAUUCUCCAACAAGUUUACGCAAUUGUGGAAAAGCGGCUCGGGGGUAACAGCAUCAACAUUGUACCAAAGCACUGCAAUCAAUACGUGGAUAGAUUUUUCAAGAUAUUUUCUUUUCAUGCGUAAAAUUGUUCAUCUGGCAGUCCAAUUUUAAAAAUUAGCUCAUUGUUGUCGUCCCUGCCCGAGAAAGGCGAAUAUUGGUUUUGGUGGAAUUUGACAUGUCUCCAUUGAUUUUUUUUCAUAGCUCACAUCUGGAAAAGUAUCCACGUAUCAUUGUACAAAAAUAGUAUCCCAAAUUCUAAAGUACAUUGCUUUCGUACACGACUUAAGAGAAGCUUAGCUCCUUAAUUUCGAAUGUGAAUUAAAAAGAAAGGUAUGAGUAGACUGAUCUUAGAGUUCUAUGUGCUUUCCCUCGACGAAAAACCAUAUGGUUAAAGUCGAGGUGAAAUAUACUUACAAUAAUAAUAAGUUCUAUGUAGUUAAUAUUUUUAUUUGAGACUGCUGCAGUAUUCAUUUUAUGCAAAAGUAUCGAGUCUUUCCUGAGAUAUGAUUUUUAAGACGUAGAGCCGUCUUGAGAUUGUCAUAAUCACUUUUUUCAAAAAACAAAACCGUCUUCUCUAGAGGACUCAAAAAACAAACAAAAAAACAUAACAAAAUCUAAAAUCAACUCCUGAGGCUCUACAAUACACGCCACGUAUCUCUGCAAAAAUAUCUUAUCCCAUUUUGAGCAGCCAUAUCUUAUGAAUGGAUCGAUACUUUUACAUAAACUAAGCAGUCUGUGAUAAAGAACAAAAACUACUGAACGUUUCAUGCUCAGACAAUCCAUCGUUUUUUUAAUUUACGCUCAAAAUUGAGGAGCGAAAAAAUUGUUAGCAGGAAAGACUUCUGUUAAAAAGCAUUUCACUGAAAUAUAAAUUUGUAUUGAUUGAAAAUAAAAUGCAUUCUGUUGUUACUAUACUUUUUUUUUAAAUUUUUGAGUACACUGACGAGAAUGAAUAAACCUCGACAGAUGUGGGUUUCGUUCGAGUCGUAGGGAUUAUUCGGUUGGUCCAAAAAGCUAUUCCGGUAGUAGUGAUAAUGAUUCAAAACGUUUUUCAUUUACCUAGCUGUGAGAUGAUACCUUUUUUAUCGAUCCACAUGCUUUUUGAAUAAUUUAUUAAAUUUAAUUCGUUAUUACUCAAAAAUUAUGCUUAGAAAGAAUGGUAAUCGAUUGCAGUAUUAAAAUAAAUAGGGCAUAAAACUCCUAGAUAUAUUUUUGAACGAUUAAAAAUAUAAUUAAAUAUACGUAUGUUCUAGAAUAUAUUAGAGUAAUAUGAUAUUGAGAUUUAACGGUGGCAAUUAUGUUGCCAAAAUGGAACCGUGCUAAACACAAACAAAAUACUAAGAUGAAGACUACUGUAUUCAAUUUUUCUAUGACUCAGGUACGUUUGGAUUGGAAAUUCUGUUCCAUUUUGAUUCUAAGCGUCAUUCCAUUGCGUUUCCCUGACUAUUGGGAUAUGUCGGAAAAAACGUUUACACAAAAAUAUCGAUAUCUCCGUUAAUAAUUAACGGAUUCGUACAAUCUUUGGUUUGUUUGAUAGGUAUUGCGAUAAACUAUCUAAAAUUCGAUUGGGACAGAUAUUAUUAUUAAGCAAUUUUCUACAUAAAAGUUUGUAUAACUCGAAAAGUAAUCAUCAGAUCUAAAAACAAAAACAAUAACGUCAAUACUUACUGGAACCGUUUGGUCAAAAUUGAUUUGCAACCAGUUUGGUCAAAAUUGGUUCAGCCAUCUCUGAGAAACACGCCUCUUAAUUUUGCACACGCACAAACAUUUGCUCAGUUAGUCGAGCUGAAUCGAUUGGUAUAUGACAUUCGAAAAGUUUUCCAAGCGAAUGUUAUAUCUAUUUUUUAUAUUCAUAAAAUAAGGUAAACAUAAUCUUACAUUGCUGAUGAGCCGGAGGCGCAACGUAAAACAAUUAAAAACAGUUAUUUGAAUUUUCUCACAAACCCCUAAGGUAUCAGAAUCUAAAUGAAACUUACACCAAGUUUUUUCCGGAAUGGCUGAACCAAUUUUUGCAAAUUUAGACUGAGAUGUAAUGCUAAUAAUAAGUUCCGGUCAACCCGAGUUUCUGUCAUAAUAUCGAACGCUGUGCCGAAUAUUGCUAAUUCAUUGGCUUUAGUCAUUGGAAUUAGCUUGGUUUUGAUAAUUCAAUGGUCUGUUCACCGGAUAAUAUUUCAAUAGCCUUCAUUCGUUGGGUUCUCAUAUACAUAUGAGCAGAAUAAUUAUUUAUUUCUUACUUACUGAACAGAUUUUCAAUCAUUUUUAUUUCGUUUAAUUUUUUAUGUUAUCAUUUUCAUUGAAAUGUAAUCUCAUUUUCCAAUCACAUCUGGAUUCCGGUUAACGACAGUCGAUAAUUCUUUGCCUGACAGCUGCUCAGAAAUCUGGUUUUGCGCAAUCGUUCCAAAGUUGAGGGUUAUAUCGACAUUUACAUGUUUUAGCAUUCCUCGCUGGCAGUAACGAAUCAGUGUCCCGAAAUAUCUUGCUGUUUCCACACUAUCUAUGGAUACGUUUUCUAGACGGCAAAUUUUCCUGUCCCCACCAGUUACUGGCACUGACCGUGCAUGAAUAUUGGUAACUUUUGACAAAUGCGCCCUUAGCAGCAGAGCAUGCCGACCUGACUCUUCAUCCUGACGCCACCCUCGCGGCGUUUGAUAUUCCAUACUGUUCCAGUGUUCCAUUCUUCGUGCUCGGCAAUUACCGCCAGCUACGUAGUUGUGUAGAUCGAUGUAUAGGAAACUGAGUGCGCCAGUGCUGCUUUCCGGUUUCCUCGGUGUAUUUUCCAGUUUCGUGUGCUCCUCUCUUUCCCGUGCAUAAUUGGUGUACAUUCUUAGAAUGCAUUUUCCCGUUCUAUUUAGUCCCAUCUGCUGCUUACACUUGCUACGAUGUUAUUCCUGCCCGGUCGGGUGGGGUGGAAAAAUUGUUCGGCAGCAACACAGACCCACACACACACACACACACUCACACACACACAUGUAGUCACACAUAACGGGCUGUUAUUGUAAAGAGUAAAGAUAUGUGCGUGACCACAGUGACAAGCUUUGAAUACAUGCGAGAAGUCCUUUCAGCUUUGUACCUGAUUCCAGCUAUUUGUUUGUCUACUUUAGUAUAUGUACAGGCGCAUUCGGAAGGGUUGCUGCUCUAAUUUGUAACAGUAUUUCAAAUAUAGAUGGGCUGCACGAAUGAAAUACAAAACAGAAAGCAUACUACGAAAAGCUUUGCUAAGAUUAUGUUGUGCAGUCUUAAAAAAGUUUAUAAAAAAAAACAGAUUUGUCUGGAAAAUUUUCGAGCGUAAUGUCGUUAUUUACAACAAACCUGUUAGCCGAAAGCUACACCUGAUUAUAGUUGGAGUCAUUAUUUUGCAGUUCUUUUUGGUGUCAGUUAACAAAACAUUCAAGUUUGAACAGUUUUCAAUCAAGUUGUAUGUAAUAUGCAAUUACUGUGAAAGCCGACUUUUGAACCGAGGUCCAGAUGGUUGAGUGCCACAUACUAUUAGACUCAGCUCGUCAAAAUCGCAAAAUGUCUGUGUGUGUGACAAAUAAUGUCACUCAAUUUUCUCAUAGACGGAUGAACCGAUUUCCACAAAAUUAGAUUCAAAUGAAAAGCAUUAAUCACUUACAAAUGAAUUUCAUCUGAAUCCGACUUCUGGUUCCGGAAUUAAAGGGUAAUAUGUGUUAAAAAAUGUCGUAUCUUCGAGUCUAUGGGUAUCUAUGAGGAAUUUUUAAAGUCAGUAGGAUCGUAUGGCUAAUAAUCGGUUACGAAGUCUGUUGAAACAUAAAUGCCAAAUUCCACAAAAGGAGCACACUUAGAAAAUUUACAUCUUUAUAGAUGCACAUAAAAGGAGCGUCGCCAUUCACUUACAUUCACAAUUCAUAGCAUGUAAAAAUAAGUCAUAUCAUGAACUUCACAGUUAAUUUAGCUGAAGCUUAAAUCGAUAUAGACGCAAAAUUUAUUUUUACAUGUUAAUAGACGUAAUAUUGUGUCAUUGCCGAAGAAAUUACGGCAUGCUUUAAUUUACGUCAAGAGUAAAUUUCAUUUUUUCUAAGAGUGAGUGUAAUUCCAGGACUUUGCUUUACUAUGUUUUAAAAAAUGAAUAUACUGUCACUCGCUUUUCUCGAAGAGUACGAAACCGAUUAUCUUAAACUUACGUUAAACGAUAAUAUCUUGAACUCCGUCAAAAUCCGAUUUACGUUUCUGGAAUUAUAGGGUGAUACGUGUUAAAAAAAAGAAAUUCCUGUCUCUAUCUUUGUCAAAACCAAUUUUCAUUCGGAUAAGAUUCAAAGAUCCUGAAAUUUUCUGAUUUCUAUCCAGAUCUGACCUCCUGUUCCGCAAAUACAGGAGCUUUAAUGUAAAAAUCUCUUCAAAAUUUGAUAGUUGAUGAUAACUUCAUCUAACCAAUUUACGGUUCCGGAAGUACCGAAAAUAGUGAUUAAAUACUGUAAAGAAGAAAGCAAUACAAUUUAUCAAAGAUGGCUCGCCCGAGUUUCACAAAAUUAGAAUAAUAUAAAAAGCCUUAUUGUCCGAUACAAAGUUUCUUAAUUCUAUCUACAUCCGACUUCCGAUUCCGGAAUUACAGAGAUGAUGAGUGUUAAAAAAUGAAAAUAAUAUUACUUACUUUUUUCGAAAAUUUAUAUUUCGAUUUUUAUAUACAUAGAUUCAAAUCAAAGAUCCUAAGAUACCGUGGAAAAGUCUGAUUUCUGUACAGAUCCGACUUCCGGUUGCGAUACAGGGGGUUUAAUGCUCAAAAUUACAAUUUCAAUAGUGUUUUCUCAUAAAUGACACUAAAAAGACAAAUGAAUAUUCUAAAAUUUUGAUAGUUGAUGACUAAAUAAACUUACUUCAUUUAUACCGCUACCCGGUUUUCGAUUGCGAAAGUAACGGAAAUGGUGCCUAAAUACUUUAAAAUUGAACUCAUUCCGAUGUCAAAGAGAAUAUUUUCAAUAACUCCGAAUCAAAUGGAAAGUCUUAUAGCCAAUUUGCUAUUUCUGACUGUUUUUUAGACCCGGCUUCCGGUUACUGAACUGUAGAGUAAUUUAAAUCCGUCACACACAGCGACGAUGCCGAAAACGCACAAUUUUUUCAUAUAGCUAGCUCAAGGCAGUUGCAAUUUCACUUUUUUUCGCAUUUCGCCUUCGGCUCAUCAGUGCAUAAAACAGUUCAAAUUAAACUACCAAUCUCCGCCUAGCAGUUCAAGUUAGGCCGCUCAGCAGACGCUAAGUUUACAAUAUUUUUGUAACACUUUCUGCUGACUUGAACGAGAACGAGUGACGACUGACUUGCUACCGCAGAAUGUGAACAAUUGGGAGGAUUUUGGUCACAAAGUAACCGGUUAUUGCGAAAAACAUUUUGUUUUCAUCUUCUUUGCGUUCCGCCUUCAGCUCUUCAGUGCUCGAAGCGGUUCAAAUUGAAUUGGAAUUAUUCAAAGAAUCAAUCAUGGAACCAUUCCGGUCGUGGUGUGAAGCUUGAGUCAUUUAAUAUCUGGACGCAAACAGAACUGAUUUCUUUCGGAACCAUCUUAAUGAAAUUAUAAUGUUGAGAGCCCAAAAUUAAGAUUAUUCAUUGCACUUUAAAGAAUAAAUAGUGGAAAAAUUAUUCGAAAUUUUUCUUCGAUUACCUCUCAUCAUAAUUUGAAAACUCUGUUGACUAACCUAAGCGACCAUUUUGUUCUACCAUCUCUUCAUCUCGGUUGUAUCCCGUGUCCCCUUUCCAUGCUACUUCAACUUUUGCUUGGUAAUUGCCCAAUAUUUUAACAUCCAAAUCAGGUCUAGACUUUGCAAGUCCAUUGAGAGCUCUGAAGUACGAAAAAACGGUGCUUGUACACAUGGUCUUAUUUGUCACGAAAACCUGAGGUUUUAGUCCGCAGCUGCAAUAUCGGUAUCAUUUGCUUUCUUCUUAGUUUCGAACCGUUUCCGUUUAACAAGAGCCCAGUACUUCUCUAAUGGGCGUAGUUCUGGACAGUUUGAUGGAUUGUCUGUUUUUGGCACUAAUUUGACCUCUGGUGUCUUAUACCAUUCCAGGGCGGAUUUCGCAUAGUGGCAAGAGGCCAAAUUCUGCCAUUCCUUAUGUCUUAACACAAUUCGUUUAUUUGAAGUCAGUAAGUAGUCAUAGGUACUUACUAUGUUUUUCACGUGUAGCUCGUACCAUUUUCGCAGUGUAGAAAAGACCACAUGUUUUUUUUUAUUCCGGCAGUUUUGCAACCGAUUGAGUGAAUCGGUAUUCGGAAGUCAGGAAUGCAGAUGACUUUCAAAAUCGUGGGUGUACUAGGAAAGUGUCAGUUUAAGUGAAAAAAUAUCCUUCUGCUGUUUUCUAAAAAUCCUACCUUGACUCUGCGUGAGGGAGUUGAGAAGUUGAACAAGAAAAGCUUGAAACUAUCCCACGAAAUCAUUCGUUUGCAUUUGCGCAAUAAUAACAUUGAGUAUCGGAACGCACAGAUGAAACUAUUACUGAGCGAAAAACACGUGGUGUAUCCCAAAGUCUUCUAGCACGUAAAACAUCCCCCAAAUAAACCAUGUGACUAACUAAGAAAAACACCUUUUCUGCCAAAAAUCGAUGUCAUUCAUCAAUGUAAUCAUUUCAACGAUUUUCUAACUUCUCGAUGUCAGGCUUGUGGAAGGAUUUCUCUUUUGCCUCAAAAUAGGUUUCACAUUCACCAAUUGCUUCUUUAUUUGAGUUGAAUUUCUUACCGGCGAGCAUUUUUUUAGUUUAGUUAGUAGUCACUGGGGGUCAGAUCUGGAAUAUACUGUGGAUGAGGAAGCAAUUCUAAGUGUAAUUCGUUCAAUUUAACCAUCGCUGCCAUCGACUUGUCAAUUGGUGCAUAAUCUUGGUGAAACAGUGAUUUCUUCUUUGACACAUAAGGGCGUUUUUUCUAGAUUUUUGCAUUCAAACGAUCUAGCAACGUUAUGUAGUAUUUGCUAUUGAUUGUUUUAUUUUUGUCAACAUAGUCGAUGAAGCCAUAACCUUCCCAGCUGUCUGUUGUGCCUUUGGACAUGGUUCACCGGCUGCAUUCCACUCAGGUGAUGAUCGUUAUGAUUCCAAAGUGAAAUGACGGAUCCAUGUUCCAUCCAUUGUCAUUUCUUGUAAACAUGGCAAUGUUUAAUUUAAAACACGACAUUGUUUUUGAAAGUGACAAUUGUAGCUUCACUUAAAUAGCUGUCACUUUUUUUCUGAUUCAACGAAAUGUCAUGAAAUUUAGCACAGUCUUUUGAAACUUGGUACUUGAUAAAUGUCAUAUAGAUUUGAUAAUGACCGCUUCAUUUUUGUAUCAGUCACACUAUUGGAUAACUAUCUCAAUUUGUACGCCUGGAGUCCGUGCCUUUGCUUCACUUUGAUUUUACCUUCCCAACUUUGCUAGCCACAUUUCGCACAGUACCAUUGGGCUUUUUCUCAAUGUUGCUUGAAUAUCAAAAAUGCAACGAACGCCAAUGAUCAUCGUUCGCUUCCCUUCGCCUUUGUUCGAUAGUUGCUCUGAUAUUCGGACUUAUCCGUAUAUUCUGGUGCGAACGAAGCCGACGCUGCUUCGUUGAUCGCAUGAAGAUCUAUUUUUUGCAGUUGUUAUUCGCAUUGAACAUACCCCCGAAUGAUUUAACGCGAAUGUGGAACGAAUAUUUAUACAGCGAUCAUCGUCAAAUCUAAUUCGCGAUGAUCGUUCGUGUUUGUCUUUGAAACAAGCAAGUUAAGACGUUUUCCUCUGUAUUAGUACCAUAGUCUUAUGUGUGUGUGAUGAACCAUACCCCUGCACUCCCCCAUUGCUGUUACCCCACGAGAUAUGAUGAAAUAAUUAGAUGAAGAAUGCUUCGCUAAGAAUGGAAACCAACGAUCAUCGCAGUGACGCUAUUCGAACCAAUUCGAAGAGUGAAGUAAAUUAACGAAUGACAAACGAAUGUAUAAAACGAACAUGCACGAUGUAUAUCAGCAGCGAAGAAUGUAUUAGAAGAUUCGGGUUCUCCACGAUUAUUACUUAUUCAUUUUCACUCUUCUCGCUUUCGUGCAGUGAAUAGUUCAACGUUGUUCGAGACGGGCGUGAGUAAUAUAAGAAAAUUCGCACAGAAGAUGGAUGAAUGAAUUAGUUACACAAAGAAUAUGUGCAGCAUUGAUGAUGGCUACCAUCUUUUGGUCUAUUUAUCGGGAGCAUAUUUUAGGGUUUGUUUCACUUCUAAACUUCCGAUCCACAGUCAAGCGCUGGUCAAAUGAUAUAAAUUUAAGUUUCUUGGCAAGAAACGUACACAUUUACUUGAUUCAAAAUCAAUGUACUGAAUGUAACAAGAAUGUGUUACACCUCAAAAUAAAGUGGAGAGUUUCAGCUAUCAUAUAAGUGUAACGUUUCAGCACUCCGUGAAAAAAUUCAAAAUCUACACUGAAUAAAAAUGUACAUUGGUGCAUUCCAGGAUAUUAAAAACAGUUUUUAUAAAUCCAAAAAAUUCAAAAUGCCGGACAUAUCGAGCAUCUUUCUAGGCGGGUUUAAAUAAAGUUGUCUCCCCGUUCACACGAUAUAGUUGAACUUCGAUAUUUCUUCAUUAUUAAUUAAAUUGAUCAGUAGAUUUUUCUGUGCUUAGUGCUCAGAUACUUUAAUAAUAAGAUUUUGUCAGCAACAUAUAAACAAACAAACAUGCAUAUAAGAAAAACUAGGCUUUUGACUCUAACGCACUUAAAAGAAGAUUCGUGACAUUCGAUGACCCCACUGAACUGGAUUAUAGGGCUGUAUCUCAUAAGUAGUGCCGCCAUAUUUUUUUACCGAUUGUUCGACUUUCAUUCAAUUGUGAGAAAAUCGGAUACAAUAUCUUUGCUUCGGCUCUAGGAAGCAAUACCACAGCGACCAGACAUCCAAGUAGAGAUACCAAUUUGUGCAAGAAAUUUAACUAUUGUUUUAAAAGGCAAUCACCAAGUAGCAAUUCUCCUGUAGAGGCGCUUCGAGCACCCCAGUAAUACCCUCAUGGGCUUUUGCGUUCGAACUUUCAUACAGUAGUAAUUCAAUAGUAAGUCAGACAGCAGAUGUCACUCUAACUAAUGGUUUUCAUACAUGAGCUGAGAUGAUUACUGGAGCUGUUAAGGAGUGUAUCAAAAAUAAGCUAUACAUCACAUUUUGGCCGAAGCCCUGGCAAUGACGAUAUUAUGUUGGAUUGGCUGUGCCAUCAUCAGUGUUGGUGAUUGCCGAUAAUUUGGCAGAAAGCGGCUCGAUAUUUCUCUACAUUGUAUACAACAUUUUCAAUCUGGUGGAAGAUGCUACAAGAACUCACUGCCUCUCAAUGCAUGAACCGUGAGAGAAUUUUUCUAUAUUUCUUCGCUCCACUUCAUACUCUAAGAAUUUCACAGCCCCUAACAUAUAAUAUAUACAGUCUGGCAAUGAUCGGCGCUGUGUGAAAGUUACCAAGAGAGAAUCGCAAGUUGACAAUUAUCGCUGAAAAUUCGACUUGAUGAUUCUCAUACUAGGUUACAAUAUACAAUAUUUCAAAACCCUGGUCUGGUGUGUGAUUGCAUUAGGGUUUGAAGUCUAGUUUAUUUUAUUUUCCUUUAUUUGAAAUCAAUUUUGAAGGUCGAAAUUGGUGCAGCCAUCUCUGAGAAAAAUGAGUGGCAUUAUUUGACACAGACACAUUGCACAACUCGACGAACUGAGGCGAAUGGUAUUGGCUCUUCGGACUAAUUUUGACUAGUCGAUUUUUCAAGUGAUUGCAUAAUAUUUCUGUACAAGAGAAGCAAAACUGAAAAUUAAGUAAAAAGAAGUCAACGAAUAGGUAGCUAUUGCGUUUCGAGUAGAUUUUUUUUAUUUAAACUUCUACUUACAAUGUCAGGCAAACAAACAUUGUUGAAAAAUGCUAAAGCAGUUUCCUCCGCUACUGCCUGAUGGAUUGUCAAGUGUUUUUACAUCAGUUUUUUUUUUGAAAAAUGUUCCAAACAAACAAACAAUUUCUCUUUUGAGUUUCUGCUCAACGAAUGCAAAGAAAACUGCUUUUGCGUCUUCCAGCAAUGGUCGUUUUUCUAAGAUUGUAACUUGCCUCUUAACUCCGGCUUUAACCUGGUUGUAAUCGUUCACCGGGGUGGGAAUUAAUGGUAAUUACAUUUUAUUUGGUUUGAAAUGUUUUUCCAAAACGCCGUAAAAGCAAGUGAGAGUUUCGCUUUAUUUACUUAUUCUUUUAUUAAUUAUCAAGUGGUUCCCACGUGUAUCACUCAACUCCAAAUCCAAAUGCUAUUUUAAUAGAAUCAACUUAUACAAAGGUUAUAUGCACAUAGUUAAAUAAGCGUCAAUAGUAAAAUGAUUCUAUCGCAAUUAUCCACUGCCCGUAUAGAAUCGGAUUACAAAACGAAAAUAAGCGACAGUUUUGUUGCUUCAGAGAGAAUCCCCAACAGCAGCGUGCUAACCCGUGAUGCUUAGACAGGUCAUCGAGAGAAAUUCACUUUCUCACUGGUGUCUAUUCUAUGUUAUAUGAACCAUGACGGUGUUUUGUUGCUGAGAUGAUAUCCGUCUCUCUUUGAUGGCACUGAUUGAAUUGUGUGAAGAGUUGAUAGAGAGCAUUCUUUGAUACGAUAAAAGCCAUCCUUGGCCAUCAUGCCGUUUAUAAUUUUCCCGCCGAACUGAGAUUUCCACUUUCACUUCCGGAAGCAGCGAAGAAAGCUCUGUGCAAAAUGAUUUGAAGUUGCAAGCAUAGAUUGUUGUUGUUUUUUCCGAGUGGCAAGCGUCCGUUUUUGGGAUUGUUGCUCCUUAUUGAUUUAUUUUCAAUCAUAUGUAUACCAAAAAAUAAUAAAAACACUCAUACGCACUCGGAAAAAAUCGGUUUCGUGUAACCAAAACCCUUGAAUGACUUGAAAAAGCCUUUAUGCUUUGCUUAUAUGCACAUUGUAUGAUGAAUAUUUUCUAUUGAUACCUAAAAAUGCCUGGAAAGUAUUUGAAUCCUCAAUAAGCGGGCCUAUUACAAUGAUCCUUUCCAGACAUGGGAUAUCUGUUUAAAGUUUGAAUUAAAACAUGUUUAAAUAAAACUAAACAGAGCGAUUUUAGCCUAUUCCAAAAACCGGAAAUUUUUAUCUCAAAAAACCGGAAAUUGAAAUCGGCAAUUCACGCCACCCUGUUAAAGUCAGUCAGCAGAUCUCACUCUAACUAAUGGUUUUCGUACACGAGCUGAGAUGAUUACUGGAGCUGUUACGCUAUACGGUGCUCAGGUUACGCGACAUCGUCAGAAUGUCCAACCGAAUCAGCUUGAAUGUUUACCGUUCAAGCACGGUACCGUACAACACUACUUUAAUUAUUAUUGUUAUUAUUAUGAUUAUGAAAAUUACAUUAGUUCAAAUGAAAACAAUAAUUGAUAAUUUUAAUUUACUGGAAAAUUUGAGAGACAUAAUGCGUUCGAUGCACACGCAAUUCACCGACAUUAGAAAAUAUUAGACAAUUAGUUUAGUGCCAUCUGUCAUAGAAUAAAUUUCAGUUAACAUUUCUACCUGUUUGGCAUCACUGCGCUGCACUUACUCAUACUGUUAUGUACGGCCGUCGCAAACGCAGUGGACGUUUUUGGGUAGACCAACCGUACAUACGUACUGACCAAGCCCGCGGGCAUACCGUUUCGCUAGUUCUCGAAUCCACAUUUCACCGUACGUAGUCGCGGUCGUCGUCGUCGUCGUAGUCGUCGCGGUCACUUUCUUAGUCGUUGAUGGUCGCUAACAAGUGUGUAUGACCAGCACAACCCGUCGCCGCACUACGGGUGGAAAAGGCUGGAUUUGCCCGGGUGCCCGCGGCACAUCACCCUUUCUCCGACGAGGAGUGCGCUCUCGCCAGCAGAGCACACGUCAUCCGCAGUCGGCUGCACUGGCUGUGGUGUGUGCAAUCGAACGAGGAGGUUCUCUCCUUUCCUUCGGUGCGGUGGAAAACUCACGGCACGUUUUUUUUAUCUCGCUAUGUCGUCGGUGUGAAAAUUGGAAAGUUUUCUUUUCGGUCGACUGGUUUUCGCGUUCUCUUCCCUCUCGGUCAGCUAACGGUGCAAAUGACCAUGGUUGGGUGUUUUCAUUUAUCCCGCAAAUUAUAGCUGGAAGCAGUUGCAAAAUUUCGGUAGGAUUAAGGAGCACGGUCUAUUAGAAUCAAAUGAAAUAUGAGAACGCAAUUUGUUAACACUGAGAAAAACUCCCCGGUUUUUAGGGGCGGCAGAGUCGGUAUUGAAAUCGUGUACUGCUUUCGUUGUGUCUGAG